Molecule: ribosomal RNA, 493 nt
Filed under: uncultured bacterium
Lineage: Bacteria
Description: partial 16S ribosomal RNA
Rfam family: Bacterial small subunit ribosomal RNA
Source: RNAcentral
GACGAACGCUGGCGGCGUGCUUAACACAUGCAAGUCGAACGGUGAAGGGACCGGUUUUUGCUGGUUCUGGAUGAGUGGCGAACGGGUGAGUAACACGUGAGUAACCUGCCCCCUUCUUCUGGAUAACCGCAUGAAAGUGUGGCUAAUACGGGAUAUUCUGCGCCUGCUGCAUGGUGGGUGUGGGAAAGAUAUUGUUUCGGUGGGGGAUGGGCUCGCGGCCUAUCAGCUUGUUGGUGGGGUGAUGGCCUACCAAGGCGGUGACGGGUAGCCGGCCUGAGAGGGUGGACGGUCACACUGGGACUGAGACACGGACCAGACUCCUACAGGAGGCAGCAGUGGGGAAUAUUGCACAAUGGGCGCAAGCCUGAUGCAGCGACGCCGCGUGAGGGAUGGAGGCCUUCGGGUUGUAAACCUCUUUCGCCAGUGAAGCAGGCCUGUCCCUUUUGUGGGUGGGUUGACGGUAGCUGGAUAAGAAGCGCCGGCUAACUACGUG